Long non-coding RNA from Myxocyprinus asiaticus (Chinese sucker), 874 nucleotides. RefSeq lists it as uncharacterized. The record is from RefSeq and is a predicted model, not a curated record. Lineage: Eukaryota; Metazoa; Chordata; Actinopteri; Cypriniformes; Catostomidae. The transcript is spliced from 3 exons.
CCUUGGCAGGUCCACUUUAACCAUUGCACAAUGGCCUCAAAAUGUAUUUGGACACUUACAAAUGUAUGAAAGAAAUUGCAUUACAUAACGAUAUAUGGAGGCAUUUAUUUUAAAGAAUAAUUUUAUAAAAAAAAAAAAAAAAAAAAAAAGAACAAAUUGCACUUACAAUGAGAGUGAAUGGGGUCAGUCCAUAAACGCUAAAAUACACAUUAUUUCAAAGAACACAAUUGAAGAUUUUUUGAAGAAUAUCUCAGCUAUGUUGGUCCAUACAAAUCAAGUGAAUGAUAGCCAGAACAUUAAAGCUCCAAAAAGCACUUAAAGGGAUAGUUUACCCAAAAAUGAAAAUUCAGUCAUUGUUUACUCACCCCCUGAGUUGUUAUAACCCAAUAUGACUUUCUUUCUUUUUUCUUAACACAAAGGGAGAAAGGGAGAUUAUGGUGACCACCUCUUCAAGCUUAAAAGGGAUGCAAAAGGGAGUCACGUGGAGCAAUGCGAGGGUCGGACGUGUGAACGACAGGGCUGCAGACAGGGACUCAGUUUGGACGGUGCGGCGGGAGAGAUUCAGCAUCAACUGUCAAGCAUGUCGGCAAUGCUGGUGAAGGUCGUUGCUGACUUGGAGGAUCUUGCUGUAAUACGUAGAUCGAUCACUGCCAUGGAGACGAAAUUCUCUGAGUUGGUUACAAGAGUGUCGGAUGUCGAGAAACGGAUCGAUUAUCUGGAAUCAUCGGAGAGGGAAUUAGCUGCUAACCCGCUAGCGACGAAGACAGACUUGGAACGCGUUUGGGAAAAGUUGGAAGACUUAGAGAAUCGUAGCCGGCGAAACAACGUCCAAAUGUUGGAAUUCCUAAGAAAGAAGAAGGCCGAGAUAUGGUGA